AAAAUAUAAAUUAAUAAUAAAUAAUAUAAUAAAAGUAAUUUUAAUAUUAAAAUAAAUAAUGGGGGUUAAAGUAUUUUAAAAAAAAAAAUUACAAAAUUAUAGAAAAUUAGUAUAGUGAUAGAAAUUUGAAAUAUAAGAAAAUAAAUUUAUUAAAAAGUAAAUUUUAUUUAUUGUAUCUUGUGUAUCAGAGUUUAUUAAAAAAUUUUUUUAAUUAAAAAAAUCUCGAAUUUAAAAGAGUUAAUUAAUUAAAAAUUUUAAUGUAAAAUAAUUAUUUUAAAUAAUUAAUUAGAAAUGAAAUGUUAAUCGUUUUUAAAUAUAUCUAGUUAUUUUAGAAAAAAAUUUAAUUUUAAAUUUAUUUAGUUUAAAUGUUAAUUUAGUUAAUAUUUUAAAAAAUUUAAAUUUUAUAAUUUAAGGGAUAAUCUUUAAGUUAAAUUAUUAUAAUAAAAAUUUUUUUUUAAAAAUUUUUAAAAUUUAUAUUGUUUAAAAAUUAAAAUUUUUUAUAAAAUAUUUUAAUAUAAAUAAGAUUUAAAAUAUUAAAUUUAAUUUUUUAUAAAAUUAUAAUAUUUAAUUAAAGAAUAUUAGAAGAAAUGAUAAAAUUAGUAUAAUAAAUUAAUAUUUAAGUUAAAUAUUAUAAUAAAUUAUAUGAAAGGAAUUCGGCAAAUGUAAAUAUUCACCUGUUUAACAAAAACAUGUCUUUUUGAUUUAAUAAUUUAAAGUCAAAUCUGCCCACUGAUAAUUUAUUAAAGGGCUGCAGUAUAUUGACUGUACAAAGGUAGCAUAAUCAUUAGUCUUUUAAUUGAAGACUUGUAUGAAGGAUUUGAUGAAAUAUUAACUGUCUCUUAUGUAUUAAUAGAAUUUAAUUUUUUAGUUAAAAAGCUAAAAUUUAUUUAAAAGACGAGAAGACCCUAUAGAGUUUUAUAAUUAUUUUUUAAUUUUUUAUUUAUAAAUAUUAAUAAUUUUUAAUAAAUAAUUAUUUUAUUGGGGGGAUAAAAAAAUUAAAUAAACUUUUUUUUUAAUUGAACAAAGAUAAAUGAAUAAUUGAUCCAUAAAUUAUGAUUAAAAGAAAAAAUUACCUUAGGGAUAACAGCGUAAUUUUUUUUUUUAGUACAAAUAAAAAAAAAAGUUUGCGACCUCGAUGUUGGAUUAAGAUAAAAUUUAAAUGCAAAAGUUUAAAAUUUUGAUCUGUUCGAUCAUUAAAAUCUUACAUGAUCUGAGUUCAAACCGGUGUAAGCCAGGUUGGUUUCUAUCUUUAAAAAAUUAAAAUAUUUUA
This 1270-nucleotide ribosomal RNA is filed under the name Lycaena dispar aurata. Its description in RNAcentral is "partial 16S ribosomal RNA". Lineage: Eukaryota; Metazoa; Arthropoda; Insecta; Lepidoptera; Lycaenidae. The record is from RNAcentral.